This 492-nucleotide ribosomal RNA is filed under the name uncultured bacterium. RNAcentral's name for it is "partial 16S ribosomal RNA". It matches the Rfam family "Bacterial small subunit ribosomal RNA", at positions 29 to 507 of the family's 1533-position model. The record is from RNAcentral.
AGUGAACGCUGGCGGUAGGCCUAACACAUGCAAGUCGAACGGCAGCACAGUAAGAGCUUGCUCUUACGGGUGGCGAGUGGCGGACGGGUGAGGAAUACAUCGGAAUCUACUUUUUCGCGGGGGAUAACGUAGGGAAACUUACGCUAAUACCGCAUACGACCUACGGGUGAAAGCAGGGGAUCUUCGGACCUUGCGCGAUUGAAUGAGCCGAUGUCGGAUUAGCUAGUUGGCGGGGUAAAGGCCCACCAAGGCGACGAUCCGUAGCUGGUCUGAGAGGAUGAUCAGCCACACUGGAAAUGAGACACGGUCCAGACUCCUACGGGAGGCAGCAGUGGGGAAUAUUGGACAAUGGGCGCAAGCCUGAUCCAGCCAUACCGCGUGGGUGAAGAAGGCCUUCGGGUUGUAAAGCCCUUUUGUUGGGAAAGAAAAGCAGCAGGUUAAUACCCCGCUGUUCUGACGGUACCCAAAGAAUAAGCACCGGCUAACUUCGUG